GCUUUCCUGUGGCUCAGUUGGUAGAGUGCUGCACUAGCAAUGCAAACGUUGUGGGAUCAAAUCCCAGGGAAAUCA
Danionella cerebrum is the source of this 75-nucleotide non-coding RNA. NCBI's taxonomy places the organism in Eukaryota, Metazoa, Chordata, Actinopteri, Cypriniformes, Danionidae. The record is from the annotation of a GenBank genome assembly.